GAUGAACGCUGGCGGCGUGCUUAACACAUGCAAGUCGAGCGAGAAGUUUUGAAAAGAUUCUUCGGAUGAAAUUUAAAAUGGAAAGCGGCGUACGGGGGAGUAACGCGUAGGCAACCUGCCCCAUACAAAGGGAUAGCAUUUGGAAACGAAUAUUAAUACCUUAUGAAACUUAACUAGUGCAUGCUGGGUAGGUCAAAGAUUUAUCGGUAUGGGAUGGGCCUGCGUCUGAUUAGCUAGUUGGUGAGGUAACGGCUCACCAAGGCGACGAUCAGUAGCCGACGUGGGAGGGUGGACGGACACAUCGGAACUGAGACCCGGUCCAAACUCCUCCGGGAGGGAGGAGUGGGGGAUAAUGCAACAUGGGGGGAACGCUGAUGCAGCAACGGCGGGGGAACUAUGAAGGCCGUUGGGUAGUAAAGUCCUGUUCUAGGGGAUGAAGACUGACAGUAACGGAGGAGAAAGCCCCGGCUAACUCCGUG
This 479-nucleotide ribosomal RNA is filed under the name uncultured bacterium. RNAcentral's name for it is "partial 16S ribosomal RNA". It matches the Rfam family "Bacterial small subunit ribosomal RNA", at positions 28 to 507 of the family's 1533-position model. The record is from RNAcentral.